CCUACGGGGCGCACCAGUAGGGAAUCUUCGGCAAUGGACGAAAGUCUGACCGAGCAACGCCGCGUGAGUGAAGAAGGUUUUCGGAUCGUAAAACUCUGUUGUUAGAGAAGAACAAGGACGUUAGUAACUGAACGUCCCCUGACGGUAUCUAACCAGAAAGCCACGGCUAACUACGUGCCAGCAGCCGCGGUAAUACGUAGGUGGCAAGCGUUGUCCGGAUUUAUUGGGCGUAAAGCGAGCGCAGGCGGUUUCUUAAGUCUGAUGUGAAAGCCCACGGCUCAACCGUGGAGGGUCAUUGGAAACUGGGGGACUUGAGUGCAGAAGAGAGAGCGGAAUUCCACGUGUAGCGGUGAAAUGCGUAGAGAUGUGGAGGAACACCAGUGGCGAAGGCGGCUCUCUGGUCUGUAACUGACGCUGAGGCGCGAAAGCGUGGGGAGCAAACAGGAUUAGAUACCCGCGUAGUC
RNAcentral lists this ribosomal RNA (464 nucleotides) under uncultured bacterium. Its description in RNAcentral is "bacterial SSU rRNA". It matches the Rfam family "Bacterial small subunit ribosomal RNA", at positions 338 to 795 of the family's 1533-position model. The record is from RNAcentral.